UACGUCGGGUGCGAGCGUUAAUCGGAAUUACUGGGCGUAAAGCGUGCGCAGGCGGUGAGUUAAGUCUGCUGUGAACGCCCCGGGCUCAACCUGGGAAUGGCAGUAGAAACUGGCUCGCUGGAGUAUGGCAGAGGGGGGUGGAAUUCCGCGUGUAGCAGUGAAAGGCGUAGAGAUGCGGAGGAACACCGAUGGCGAAGGCAGCCCCCUGGGCCAAUACUGACGCUCAGGCACGAAAGCGUGGGGAGCAAACAGG
RNAcentral lists this ribosomal RNA (253 nucleotides) under uncultured bacterium. Its description in RNAcentral is "partial 16S ribosomal RNA". It matches the Rfam family "Bacterial small subunit ribosomal RNA", at positions 524 to 776 of the family's 1533-position model. The record is from RNAcentral.